UCUUCUCCCUUUCAUUUCACCUUGUGCACUUAACGUCCAACUUCUGCUGAUCUCUGAAUGAUCUCUGAAUGUCCAAAUAACACAGCCUCUCUCCCAUUUUUAUCUCUCCUAAAUCUAUACCGUAUUUUUUAACAAUCGAAAAAGGAGAAACGACGUUGAAACGAAGCAAUCAGUAAGGACCCGUUGUCCACGAAGUGGCUGCGGCCACAGCAAAACAGUGUCUCAGCGGGGAACUGGACCAACUUUUCCUUUUAUCCGCCAUCUACAAUGGCGAAGACUUAGGGUCGUUUGUUCACCAAAUGGUUUUUUGCCUUCUUCGUUAGGAAAUCAGGACCAAUUGUUGUUUAUUUUUGUCCUAUCAUGCAUCUACAUUAAUGAGAACUGGCAAGGCAAGCCUGUUUUUCAGCAAUGGAAGGUCGAUAAAACUGCUCUUAGAUGUUAAAAAGAAGAACUAUUUAUUGAAAAUGACAGAAAGAAGGAAUUUGAAGAAGAAUAUCUGUGUUGCUCCAGGCCUUGAAGAUACCAUUUAUUAAUUUCUUGACCAGUUGACUCUAAACUUAAAGACUGAUGAUUUGGAUUGUUCUUUAUUUUCCUUUUCAAGGGAUUCUAUGAUUUAGUAAGGAGCCGAAACAAAGAUUUGGCGAGCACAACCGCCAAGCAUUCAUUUGUUUAUUUGUUAACAGGUGUGCCUUUCUGAAGAUGUUGCAAUAUUUUCAGGAAUGAAUUUUUUUGUAUGCGCAGGGUGAAGCCCCAAUAUUAGAGGAGAAAUUGAGACCACAAGUUCAGUUAACUUGAGAAUUCGAGAAGAAAAGCUUUGUGACUACAGCCACACAGGAUGAAAUAUGGCUCCAUCGAAUUUAUUCAUGCCAAUACUUUAAGACUUGACUGUCUCCAACAAAUUGAGCUGUAAUUGUCUUCAGUACUUUAUUGAUUAGUAGAGUGGGCUAAGUCUUAUAAAGGAAAAUGAGGAUUUGGGUUUAUGCCCAGGAUCUCAGGAAAAUAAUUUGGGAACCCAAAUGUGGGUCUUCCUUGUCACAUAUUGUGUAGGCAGGCAGGCAUGCUUAUUCAUAUAUUUCAAUAUUUAAAGGGUAAUGAUAUUUCAGGCCCAUCUAUUAGAUCAUAGCCUCAUCAUCA
This is a long non-coding RNA of Mangifera indica (mango), 1134 nucleotides long. RefSeq lists it as uncharacterized. NCBI's taxonomy places the organism in Eukaryota, Viridiplantae, Streptophyta, Magnoliopsida, Sapindales, Anacardiaceae. The transcript is spliced from 2 exons. The record is from RefSeq and is a predicted model, not a curated record.